RNAcentral lists this transfer RNA (67 nucleotides) under Xanthoceras sorbifolium. RNAcentral describes it as "tRNA-Gln". It matches the Rfam family "tRNA". Rfam says of the family: Transfer RNA (tRNA) molecules are approximately 80 nucleotides in length. Their secondary structure includes four short double-helical elements and three loops (D, anti-codon, and T loops). Further hydrogen bonds mediate the characteristic L-shaped molecular structure. tRNAs have two regions of fundamental functional importance: the anti-codon, which is responsible for specific mRNA codon recognition, and the 3' end, to which the tRNAs corresponding amino acid is attached (by aminoacyl-tRNA synthetases). tRNAs cope with the degeneracy of the genetic code in two manners: having more than one tRNA (with a specific anti-codon) for a particular amino acid; and 'wobble' base-pairing, i.e. permitting non-standard base-pairing at the 3rd anti-codon position. Lineage: Eukaryota; Viridiplantae; Streptophyta; Magnoliopsida; Sapindales; Sapindaceae. The record is from RNAcentral.
CGAGGUGUAGCGCAGUCUGGUCAGCGCAUCUGUUUUGGAGAGAUGGGUUCGAAUCCUUUCACCUUGG